UGAAGUUGAUUUUAAACUAAAUGGGUUUUAGACUAAAUUCUGAGAGGAUAAUUUAGAACGAAGAACUGAGAAUUCUGUUCUUCCAAAAUCCUAGUCUGGUGUGUGUGUGUGUGUGUGUGUGUGUGUGUGUGAUUCACAGCAAGCAUCACCCAACCGAAAGCAAAUUAAGCCAUUUGUUCGAAUAUUUCAA
Podarcis lilfordi (Lilford's wall lizard) is the source of this 190-nucleotide non-coding RNA. Lineage: Eukaryota; Metazoa; Chordata; Lepidosauria; Squamata; Lacertidae. The record is from the annotation of a GenBank genome assembly.